UCAUUUGAGGUCUUGUAUUCCU
Molecule: non-coding RNA, 22 nt
Filed under: Arabidopsis thaliana (thale cress)
Lineage: Eukaryota; Viridiplantae; Streptophyta; Magnoliopsida; Brassicales; Brassicaceae
Source: RNAcentral